Molecule: long non-coding RNA, 207 nt
Filed under: Homo sapiens (human)
Lineage: Eukaryota; Metazoa; Chordata; Mammalia; Primates; Hominidae
Description: non-protein coding lnc-FAM193A-5:1
Source: RNAcentral
CCAGCUAAUUUUUGUAUUUUUAGGAGAGACGGUUUUGCCAUGUUGACCAGGCUGGUCUUGAACUCCUGGCCUCAAGUGAUAUACCUGACUCAGCCUCCCAAAGUGCUAGGAUUACAGACGUGAGCCACCAUGUCCGGCCUCCUUGGUUGCUUUUUAACAGCAAAUAAUCUUUUUUUUUUUUCCAAGUUGUGUGCUUUCUCCAAAUUU